Helianthus annuus (common sunflower) is the source of this 161-nucleotide non-coding RNA. The record is from Rfam. NCBI's taxonomy places the organism in Eukaryota, Viridiplantae, Streptophyta, Magnoliopsida, Asterales, Asteraceae.
UCACUUACCUGGACGGGGUCAAUGGAUGAUCAAGUAGGUCCAUGGCCUAGGUUGGUGACCUCCAUUGCACUCAGGAGGGGUGCCCGCCUAAGGUCGGCCCAAGUGGUCGAGCCUAUGUCAUAAUUUGUGGCAGUGGAGGCCUGCGUUCGCGCGGCCUCUGC